Non-coding RNA from Chlorocebus sabaeus (green monkey), 1707 nucleotides. NCBI's taxonomy places the organism in Eukaryota, Metazoa, Chordata, Mammalia, Primates, Cercopithecidae. The record is from RefSeq and is a predicted model, not a curated record.
CAGCCUGGAGCCCCGGCCCCGGUCCGCAGAGGAGACGGCCCCGGAAAAACCAGAGGGUCUUGGAAGGGAGCGCGGGACGGAGUCGGCUGCAGCGUCCGCGACCCGCGACCCGCGACCUGCGACCCGGCUACCCGCGGACCCGGCUCUGAGGCGGGGACGACCGGAGCUUCCGCCCGCAGCCCAACCUCCCAGGCGCCCGGCAAGACUGGCUGGCGCGGACCCUUUAAGGAAGCCGGGGGCGUGGCGUCGGGGCGUGGCCCGGGGCGGGGAUUCAGGGGCGGGGCCCGGGCGGGGCCUUCGCGAAGCUGCCAGAGGGUGCGGCCCCCGAGCGCCCGCGAGCCGGGCGGUGAGACAUGGCCUCGUGCAGCCAGAUGAGAAGUACGAUGUGGGAGACAGGGAGCACUUGGAUACCCUUGGAGACCCGGUGGAGCCUGACGAUGGAGAAGGCAGGGGCUGUCGUGCACCUCAAGCAGGUAUCAGAAGCAGAGAGUGAAGGCAGCAUACGUCAGUGUUUUCUUCUCUGCACUUACAAGAAGGAUCAAAGACUUUAAGACUUUCACUAUUUCUUCUACUGCUGUCUACUACGAACUUCAAAGAGGAACCAGGAGUACGGGAGGAGCAUGAAAGUGGACAAGGAGCGUGACCAUUGAAGCACAGCACCACAGGGAGGGGUUUCGGCCUCCGGAUGACUGCGGGCAGGCCUGGAUGAUAUCCAGCCUUCCACAAGAAGCUGGUGGAGCAGAGCGUUCCCCGACUCCUCCAAGCAAAGGAGACUCCCUUUCGCCGUCUGCUAAGUAACAGGUGCCUUCCCAGACACUGGCGUUACCACUUGACCAAGGAGCCCUCAAGUGGCCCUUACGUGGGCGUGACAGAAGGCUCACCUCUUGCCUUCUAGGUCACUUCUCACAAUGUCCCUUCAGCACCUGACCCUAUAUCCACCAGUGAUUCCUAGGUUAUAUUAGUAAUGCAACAAGGAGUAAUAUUAAAAGCUAAUGAUUAAUAAUGUUUAUAAUAAUGAUUGAUAAUUGCCCAUGAUCAUCUCUAUAUCUAAUCUGUAUUAUGACUAUUCUUAUUCUAUUUUCUUUAUUAUACUGAAACAGUUUUUGCCUUUAGUCUCUUGCCUCAGCACCUAGGUCCUCUUCUGUCCACACAGGACAAGGUGGGGUUGGCCAUCUAGGGCUCUGGGAAGGAGCCAGGGCUGUGAACUGAAGGCUCCAUCACCUCCAGAUGCUGUAGCAGCAGGAAUGCCGGUUCCUGUAUCCUGGAAAGGAGGGGCAGAGGGUAGAGAACAAGCCCAAGAAUCACUGUGAGGGCAGAGGCCAGGGCGUCACCCGUCGGGCCUGGGGAAGGUGGGGGGCAGGCCAAGCAUCUGCCACCACUGACCUGAGGCUUCCCCUCCCACACCCUGGACCCUCCAUCUCUGCUCACCACGGGGUCCGCAGGCAAAGAGGCAGGGUUGGGCCCACGAGCUCUGCCCUGGAGAACUGAGCGGCACCUCCCUUCCCAGUUGACACCACCUGAGUCAUCCUGCUCGACAAGAAUGACAGUGGGCCUGGAGCCGACUACAUCAGGACUGACCCUGAGGAGGAGCCAGGCCACGGCGGGGGCAGGGUGUACAUCGCCACGCAGGGCUGUCUGCAGGCCGUGGUGCACCAGGAGAACACGCGUGGCAUUGUCACUACCAGCAGGGAGGUGGAGCGAGGCCGG